Molecule: transfer RNA, 356 nt
Filed under: uncultured Microcystis sp.
Lineage: Bacteria; Bacillati; Cyanobacteriota; Cyanophyceae; Chroococcales; Microcystaceae
Description: partial 16S-23S ribosomal RNA intergenic spacer
Rfam family: tRNA (bases 133-206)
Source: RNAcentral
AAGGGAGACCUAAUUCAGGUGUGGGACGAAAAAAAAGUAGUCGCUACCAAGAAUCAAUCCCAAAAGGUCGGAGCGAGGUAUGAGGCUUUCAAACUAGGUUCUGGGUUCACACAAGACCUGAAUCAGGAACAAGGGCUAUUAGCUCAGGUGGUUAGAGCGCACCCCUGAUAAGGGUGAGGUCCCUGGUUCGAGUCCAGGAUGGCCCACCUGCACAGGUGGCAAAAACAAGAGAAGCGAGGAAUCAGCACCUUAUCUUAUCUAUAUAUAAGAGAGAAUGCUGGCUCUGAGUAAAGAGUCCAGAGGAACCUUGAAAACUGCAUAGAGCUAGGUGAAAAAGCCAAAAAAGAAGACCGCAA